This 303-nucleotide long non-coding RNA is filed under the name Elaeis guineensis (African oil palm). Its description in RNAcentral is "long non-coding RNA (EGUI_LNC077855)". Lineage: Eukaryota; Viridiplantae; Streptophyta; Magnoliopsida; Arecales; Arecaceae. The record is from RNAcentral.
CUCUCUCUCUCUCUCUCUCUCUCUCUCUCUCUCUCUGUGUGUGUGUGUGUGGAACCUCAGCGUCCCUCUAAAAAUCAAAUGCUUCUUGUGGUUAUGUUGCAAAAACAAACUCAACAAUAGAGACAUGCUUGGAAGGAAGAUUAGGCAUUUUUUGGAUGGAUGCACCAUUGGUCAUCAAGUUGCCAAAGCUAUAGAUUAUCUUUUCUCAAUGGGGAUAGCAACGGAUUGAGUAUCGAUUAGGUUAGCCAAUACUUAUAUCCAUCUCGUAGUUAAAAGGCUCAUAUUCAUGUCCACCUCAUACCC